UACGUAGGGUGCAAGCGUUAAUCGGAAUUACUGGGCGUAAAGCGUGCGCAGGCGGUUAUGCAAGACAGAGGUGAAAUCCCCGGGCUCAACCUGGGAACUGCCUUUGUGACUGCAUAGCUAGAGUACGGCGGAGGGGGAUGGAAUUCCGCGUGUAGCAGUGAAAUGCGUAGAUAUGCGGAGGAACACCAAUGGCGAAGGCAAUCCCCUGGGCCUGUACUGACGCUCAUGCACGAAAGCGUGGGGAGCAAACAGG
Molecule: ribosomal RNA, 253 nt
Filed under: uncultured bacterium
Lineage: Bacteria
Description: partial 16S ribosomal RNA
Rfam family: Bacterial small subunit ribosomal RNA
Source: RNAcentral